Molecule: ribosomal RNA, 427 nt
Filed under: uncultured bacterium
Lineage: Bacteria
Description: bacterial SSU rRNA
Rfam family: Bacterial small subunit ribosomal RNA
Source: RNAcentral
UGGGGAAUUUUGGACAAUGGGGGCAACCCUGAUCCAGCCAUCCCGCGUGUGCGAUGAAGGCCUUCGGGUUGUAAAGCACUUUUGGCAGGGAAGAAACAGCCUGGGCUAAUAUCCCGGGCGACUGACGGUACCUGCAGAAUAAGCACCGGCUAACUACGUGCCAGCAGCCGCGGUAAUACGUAGGGUGCAAGCGUUAAUCGGAAUUACUGGGCGUAAAGCGUGCGCAGGCGGUUCGGAAAGAAAGGUGUGAAAUCCCAGGGCUUAACCGUGGAACUUCACUUUUAACUACCGGGCUAGAGUACGUCAGAGGGGGGUAGAAUUCCACGUGUAGCAGUGAAAUGCGUAGAGAUGUGGAGGAAUACCGAUGGCGAAGGCAGCCCCCUGGGAUGAUACUGACGCUCAUGCACGAAAGCGUGGGGAGCAAACA